Molecule: long non-coding RNA, 614 nt
Organism: Leptidea sinapis
Lineage: Eukaryota; Metazoa; Arthropoda; Insecta; Lepidoptera; Pieridae
Exons: 4
Source: RefSeq, a predicted model, not a curated record
AUAACUGGAAGUUAACUUUAGUGGUUGGUUUAUCCAGACCUUCGCCAAUAACUCUUAUUUGACAAAAUAUAUAAGCUGAACCAAAUAUAAAUAAGUGACAAUAUUGGAUUAAAAUUGUUAUUGUCAAACACGAAAAUGUUUUUACGGCCUCAGUGGGUUAUUGGCAUAUUGUUAAUACAAGGUUUCCUAGUGACAAGUUUUCCAAGAUUCCUUCCUUUGAACCCUUUGCCGAUGAUAAGUGGACGUAUUGAAGCCAUAAGAGAUGCUGGGAGAAACAUUUUUGAUAGUACACUUGGAUUCCGACCGCAGAUUAAAAUUCCAUUUACGCCUUAUAGAAAUAUUCCCUUGAUUGAACCGAUAAUUAAUCGCAAUUAUGAUAAAAAUAUUUCAAAUGAUAAUAACAUUCAGGAGAAACCAAGACUAACUAUUAAUGAUACUGAAACAAGUGUGAAACAAGAAACUGAUUUAGAUAAUGAAAUUGAUAGUUCAUCUGAAUCUAUUACGACUGAAAGCAGUACUGACACUACCACAGAUAUAUGGACAACAACUGAAGAUGAUGAGACACUAAACAGAAUUUCAUCACAGGUCGUUGCAUCACUUCUGGGGUGAAACUG